This 30-nucleotide non-coding RNA is filed under the name Mus musculus (house mouse). RNAcentral also lists the same sequence under 1 other name. The record is from RNAcentral. Lineage: Eukaryota; Metazoa; Chordata; Mammalia; Rodentia; Muridae.
UCUCACUGAAUCUGGAGCCCACUAAUUGGC